AUUGAACGCUAGCGGGAUGCUUUACACAUGCAAGUCGAACGAGUGGCGGACGGGUGAGUAAUAUAUCGGAACGUGCCCAGUAGCGGGGGAUAACUACUCGAAACAGUGGCUAAUACCGCCUACUAUUGGAUCGGCCGAUAUCGGAUUAGCUAGUGGGUGGGGUAAAGGCUCACCAAGGCGACGAUCCGUAGCUGGUUUGAGAGGACGACCAGCCACACUGGGACUGAGACACGGCCCAGACUCCUACGGGAGGCAGCAGUGGGGAAUAUUGGACAAUGGGCGAAACCCUGAUCCAGCCAUGCCGCGUGUAUGAGAAGGCCUUCGGGUUGUAAAGUACUUUUGGCAGAGAGGCGGUAUCUGCAGAAUAAGCACCGGCUAACUACGUGCCAGCAGCCGCGGUAAUAC
This 405-nucleotide ribosomal RNA is filed under the name uncultured bacterium. Its description in RNAcentral is "partial 16S ribosomal RNA". It matches the Rfam family "Bacterial small subunit ribosomal RNA", at positions 30 to 526 of the family's 1533-position model. The record is from RNAcentral.